CCUUUCUUUGCUUUAUGUAAAAUAGAACUGAAUUGUUGUAAUUCAAAAUUCCUUAGGGUUGCAAGACCAACAAUAAACAAAGAAUAACAGCUACUGCCAUGAAAAUCAAUGUGUUGUCUAGAAAAAUAAACAGUCAAGAAGUGAACAUCUUUUUCUGUGCCCUGUGAAUUUUCCUUGGCAUGAGUUGAUCCUUUGUCAACAAUCUUUGUUUCCUAUUUGAUAUGAAUGUGCAGUGCAGUGGCCCUUAUUCAAGUAUUGAUGAAAGCAUCAAGAGACAUCAAGAAGCUUAAAGAUUUGAUGAAGACUGGAAACAAGUGACCGGGAAAUGAAAGUGACACAACAUUGUCAACCAUUAACCUAAAGACCUGAGUCUUCUAAAAUGGGGACCACAGGUGGCAUCUACUGUGGCCCAGACAUGCAUAUUACUGGAAGAUGUCUGCUAUUUUUAUAGCUGUGGCUUAGGGCUUUCACAUACUGCUAAUGAGAUGAAGCACUAUGCUUUUAGUUUCUGUAGUGAUUUUCAUAGCCAGUCGUGCAGGAAGACAUCAGUCAACAGUCAUUGCAGAUUUUGAAUUUGUUAAAGAAUCCAUCAGAACAAGCUGUGUAGGGAAACACAAGAGAUUGAGACAGAUGAAAAUAAAGAUAAAUUUGGUGAAGCCAGUAACUCACCUGUGUCCCUAUGGAUUGUGGGCCUUUUCUUGCCAGUGGAGAAUGAAAAUCUUCAAGUGUCAUCACUAGCUGUUGUUUUUGCUUUAUGUUUAACUGACAUGAUUAUUGGCACCUCAGAAGAGUAGCACUAUUUUCUCUAUUUUUGUGUGUUCCUCCCUGGCACUAGCGGGGAGGUGUAGUAGCUUUUCUCAUUGCUUGGUGUUGACUGGUGAAGAAUUAUCAUGCCAGAUUUUGAACAUCCAAACUCAGUGAUAACAUUUGAAGACUAAAUACCUUUUUUGAUGCUACUUCUUUUAAGACUAUUUUAUGAAUAGUAAUAUUGCUUAUGUAAUAGCAGUCCCUUUUUAUACUUAUGCAAUGGGCAAUUUUUGGAAUAAACUCUUAUUUUGUUACUUUACCCUGCA
Molecule: long non-coding RNA, 1073 nt
Filed under: Vulpes vulpes (red fox)
Lineage: Eukaryota; Metazoa; Chordata; Mammalia; Carnivora; Canidae
Description: lncRNA (ENSVVUG00000009599.1)
Source: RNAcentral